This 253-nucleotide ribosomal RNA is filed under the name uncultured bacterium. RNAcentral's name for it is "partial 16S ribosomal RNA". It matches the Rfam family "Bacterial small subunit ribosomal RNA", at positions 524 to 776 of the family's 1533-position model. The record is from RNAcentral.
UACGUAGGGUGCGAGCGUUGUCCGGAUUUAUUGGGCGUAAAGGGCGCGUAGGCGGCCACGCACGUCCGUUGUGAAAUCGCCCGGCUCAACUGGGCGGGGUCAGCGGAUACGGUGUGGCUCGAGCAAGCUAGGGGGCAAUGGAAUUCCCGGUGUAGUGGUGGAAUGCGUAGAUAUCGGGAGGAACACCAGUGGCGAAGGCGGUUGCCUGGAGCUUUGCUGACGCUGAUGCGCGAAAGCGUGGGGAGCGAUCCGG